Molecule: ribosomal RNA, 595 nt
Filed under: uncultured bacterium
Lineage: Bacteria
Description: bacterial SSU rRNA
Rfam family: Bacterial small subunit ribosomal RNA
Source: RNAcentral
GGCGGGGUAACGGCCCACCAAGGCGACGAUCAGUAGGGGUUCUGAGAGGAAGGUCCCCCACAUUGGAACUGAGACACGGUCCAAACUCCUACGGGAGGCAGCAGUGAGGAAUAUUGGUCAAUGGACGAGAGUCUGAACCAGCCAAGUAGCGUGCAGGAUGACGGCCCUAUGGGUUGUAAACUGCUUUUAUAAGGGAAUAAAGUGAGAGUCGUGACUCUUUUUGCAUGUACCUUAUGAAUAAGGACCGGCUAAUUCCGUGCCAGCAGCCGCGGUAAUACGGAAGGUCCGGGCGUUAUCCGGAUUUAUUGGGUUUAAAGGGAGCGUAGGCCGGAGAUUAAGCGUGUUGUGAAAUGUAGACGCUCAACGUCUGCACUGCAGCGCGAACUGGUUUCCUUGAGUACGCACAAAGUGGGCGGAAUUCGUGGUGUAGCGGUGAAAUGCUUAGAUAUCACGAAGAACUCCGAUUGCGAAGGCAGCUCACUGGAGCGCAACUGACGCUGAAGCUCGAAAGUGCGGGUAUCGAACAGGAUUAGAUACCCUGGUAGUCCGCACGGUAAACGAUGGAUGCCCGCUGUUGGUCUGAAUAGGUCAGCGG